AACGAACGCUGGCGGCAGGCCUAACACAUGCAAGUCGAGCGCGCCUUCGGGUGAGCGGCGGACGGGUGAGUAACACGUGGGAAUAUGCCUUUCGGUGCGGAAUAGUCUUGGGAAACUGAGGGUAAUACCGCAUACGCCCCUUGGGGGAAAGAUUUAUCGCCGAAAGAUUAGCCCGCGUUGGAUUAGGUAGUUGGUGGGGUAAUGGCCUACCAAGCCGACGAUCCAUAGCUGGUUUGAGAGGAUGAUCAGCCACACUGGGACUGAGACACGGCCCAGACUCCUACGGGAGGCAGCAGUGGGGAAUCUUAGACAAUGGGGGCAACCCUGAUCUAGCCAUGCCGCGUGAGUGAUGAAGGCCUUAGGGUUGUAAAGCUCUUUCAGCUGGGAAGAUAAUGACGUACCAGCAGAGAGCCCC
This 415-nucleotide ribosomal RNA is filed under the name alpha proteobacterium oral taxon A23. RNAcentral describes it as "bacterial SSU rRNA". It matches the Rfam family "Bacterial small subunit ribosomal RNA", at positions 29 to 494 of the family's 1533-position model. Lineage: Bacteria; Pseudomonadati; Pseudomonadota; Alphaproteobacteria. The record is from RNAcentral.